UGGGGAAUAUUGCACAAUGGAGGGAACUCUGAUGCAGCGACGCCGCGUGAACGAAGAAGGCUUUCGAGUCGUAAAGUUCUUUUACAUGGGAAGAUAAUGACGGUACCAUAAGAAAAAGCCCCGGCUAACUACGUGCCAGCAGCCGCGGUAAUACGUAGGGGGCUAGCGUUGUCCGGAAUCACUGGGCGUAAAGGGUUCGCAGGCGGAAAUGCAAGUCAGGUGUAAAAGGCAGUAGCUUAACUACUGUAAGCAUUUGAAACUGCAUAUCUUGAGAAGAGUAGAGGUAAGUGGAAUUUUUAGUGUAGCGGUGAAAUGCGUAGAUAUUAAAAAGAAUACCGGUGGCGAGGGCGACUUACUGGGCUCAUUCUGACGCUGAGGAACGAAAGCGUGGGUAGCAAACAGG
Molecule: ribosomal RNA, 403 nt
Filed under: Fusobacteriota bacterium
Lineage: Bacteria; Fusobacteriati; Fusobacteriota
Description: Fusobacteria bacterium partial 16S ribosomal RNA
Rfam family: Bacterial small subunit ribosomal RNA
Source: RNAcentral